CUUCCUUCAGAGAGACCAUCAGGGACUGUCCAUAUCUUUAUUUGUGAAGGUAUGAUUCACCCCACCGCCCAAUAUUACCAUGUAAAUGAUACAAGUGCCAGCUGCUGGAGAGAAACAUAGCACUAAUGAGUUUUUGUAAUUAUUAGAAAAAGCUAAAUACGGAACAUUUUGGGUAUCCUACCCAUGUCAGUUCAGGACAAAAACAUUUAAUACAGAAAAUACCCUGUAUAUACAGGAUGUCUGGGAACAGUCACAUUUAUUUUCGUUGUUAGAUGAGUCUGUCCCACAUUCGUCUAGGUCCCAGGAAGGACGAAGACUAAAAGGGUAGGUGGAACCGUGGUUUUCCUUGCCAACCGUGGACUCCAGCAGGAUCCCUGGCUUGGGCCUCCUGGAGAUGACAAAACAAGUGACAUUCUCCCCACACCUGCACAGCCGGGGCUUCGGGAGAUCCACGCAGUAAAGUGGGCCAACAGCUGAGAGGCAGUUGGUUAGACGGGUGUCACUUUUGUCCAAAGGCUGCUGUCUCAGAGACACAUGCUAAUAUAUAGGAUGUGUCAUCUGCCACAGAUCAGUAGACGGCCGCUGCAACCAGUACUGCGCUGGGCGCCGAGUCACGUGGGUCCGGCGGCGGGGACCACCGAGAUGUGGGGCCUCCAGGCGGCCUAGAGGGCCCUUGGGCGCUUGCUUGCUUCCGGAUCGGCUUUUAGUUUCCAGCUUCUUCUAGAUGUUCGCGGAGGAAGAUUGUUGUCUGUUAGCAAGUUCCACCGGGCCAAGUCUUGGGUUGCCAGAUUCUUCGCUGCCCCUGGCGGCUCGUCAGCCUCCUCCCUUGAACUGGGUCCCAAUGGUGGCCUGCCCCUCCGUCACCUGCGCUCGAGAGUUUGAGCCUCGCAGAAGCCGCCCGAGGUUCUGCUUUCCCAACCCAGAAGACAGUACAUGAAGCCAGGAGACGUACUAUCAGCCAUGACCCAAACAGCUCCGCCUCAGGUGAGCUGUUUUCUUUAAGUCUUUUCACUCACAUUAGCUAUCAGGUAAUCAGGCAAGGAUGAAGAGGGCCUCAUUUGGCUAGGCUGUGGUUUUCUCUUUGAUUUUGUCACCAGGGAUAUG
RNAcentral lists this long non-coding RNA (1104 nucleotides) under Ictidomys tridecemlineatus (thirteen-lined ground squirrel). Its description in RNAcentral is "lncRNA (ENSSTOG00000033797.1)". Lineage: Eukaryota; Metazoa; Chordata; Mammalia; Rodentia; Sciuridae. The record is from RNAcentral.